RNAcentral lists this ribosomal RNA (67 nucleotides) under Sporobolomyces salmonicolor. Its description in RNAcentral is "Sporidiobolus salmonicolor partial 26S ribosomal RNA". The stretch from base 10 to 67 matches the Rfam family "Eukaryotic large subunit ribosomal RNA", at positions 1 to 58 of the family's 3401-position model. Lineage: Eukaryota; Fungi; Basidiomycota; Microbotryomycetes; Sporidiobolales; Sporidiobolaceae. The record is from RNAcentral.
UUUUAGAUUAGAUCUCCAAUCAGGCAGGAUUACCCGCUGAACUUAAGCAUAUCAAUAAGCGGAGGAA